Molecule: ribosomal RNA, 492 nt
Filed under: uncultured bacterium
Lineage: Bacteria
Description: partial 16S ribosomal RNA
Rfam family: Bacterial small subunit ribosomal RNA
Source: RNAcentral
AGUGAACGCUGGCGGUAGGCCUAACACAUGCAAGUCGAACGGCAGCACAGUAAGAGCUUGCUCUUACGGGUGGCGAGUGGCGGACGGGUGAGGAAUACAUCGGAAUCUACUUUUUCGUGGGGGGUAACGUAGGGAAACUUACGCUAAUACCGCAUACGACCUACGGGUGAAAGCAGGGGAUCUUCGGGCCUUGCGCGAUUGAAUGAGCCGAUGUCGGAUUAGCUAGUUGGCGGGGUAAAGGCCCACCAAGGCGACGAUCCGUAGCUGGUCUGAGAGGAUGAUCAGCCACACUGGAACUGAGACACGGUCCAGACUCCUACGGGAGGCAGCAGUGGGGAAUAUUGGACAAUGGGCGCAAGCCUGAUCCAGCCAUACCGCGUGGGUGAAGAAGGCCUUCGGGUUGUAAAGCCCUUUUGUUGGGAAAGAAAAGCAGCAGGUUAAUACCCCGCCGUUCUGACGGUACCCAAAGAAUAAGCACCGGCUAACUUCGUG